AGCCAGACGACUAGAGUGGAAGCACAGGAGCUCACAGCUGCAGUCUACUGGCUUGUUUUUGGGAGGCAGAAUUGCUGAGCCAUUCCUCUCAAAAUACCAUCUCUUCUCUCUGCCAUCGAGGCAUAGAUUUCAUCUGGUGGAGCAGCCGAGGAGUUGAGAUGCAAAAGGAAGAGUCUAUUUAUGGUUAGAAUAAAAAAACUUGGAAUUAUUCUUUGUCUCCAUCUAGCAGGACAUACAUUUCAAAGAGGCGAGCUUGGAUAGUGAUUUUAUCGAGUGCAUUCGCUGCGUAUGUGUACAUAUGAUUGUGUGCGCGUCCCAGACCAUGGUUUCAGGCUGAGAAGUUGAACAGAAUGGGUUGGAUUACCUGUCCGUCCCAUCACGAACCCAUUCCCCUCACCAAAGGUCCCAGUGCGGAUGUCCAGUCAGAUGGGCCCAUCUGCAUUGGAUGGCUUUGAUUGCACUUUUGAUCAGAGACUAUGUCCGCAGAGCUGGGACAAGGUGGUCGCUCCACUCCAGGGUUAAGGCGACUUUCGUAGACUGAGUCCAUGUCCAUCGGGCAGGGCAGAGUCGAAGGGAAAUGGCAAUGCAGCAGCUGAGCUGAGCUCAGACAGACAGAUGCAGUGACCUCAAUCAGCCCCAGUCAUGUCUGGACACAGCCAGAGUGAGGCAGACAGAGCGAGAGCAACGGAGAGAGGGGGAGCGCAAACCACACAUACUGUCUCGUACAUAUACUCACACUAGGGGAUGAAGAGAAGCGAAGGAGGCUGUAAGGGGAGGGGAAACUGAGUUGUCUCUCUCUCUCCUGCUUUUUCUCUCCACCACUUUAUUUUGCUUUAUAUGCUGGUGUUCACAUUGACUGCACGUCUACAUUGAUCUCCAGAGCGAAAUACUAUCUUGUUCCCCCCUUUACUUCCCCCGAUUUCACUUUAUCAUCCAGGUCAGUGACAUAUGAACUCAUGAACGAUACAAAAUCAUGGAGGACACACUCUGCUGAAUAACCACCCUGAAGAUCACAUGUAAUCAUACGCUGCCAUCAAAACCAGGGACAAGCACGUUCAGCUCUCUGUAGAGACUGCCUGGUGUUCCUACCCCGUACGCUUUUAUGAUCAAGAACGAGGCAUCAGGGCCUGAGAUCUGAGCAGUGUUUCCUGUGAGAAUCCUUUGGCUGUGCUGUGCAAUCUGCCGCUCACCACUGACAGCAGUCCAUCCCCGCACUAACAUCAUUACCCAUUCCCACUGAAGCUGAGCUCCACUCUGCUCUGUUUUUGUUUGUGUGUUUACAGUAAAUGGCAGGAUAAAAGGUGAGCUGAAGUGAGUUGGUCGGACAGGCCUUGCCAAACCCACAGGCUGUUCUGCUGCUCUGCUACCGCUGCCAUGUUUUGAUGUGCACCACUUUGCAGAUGCAGUUUUGGGCCAUUACCAAUAAGCUUCCGUGCAGAAGGAGGGAUCUAUAUUUGGACUGAGAGUCUGGUAAAGUAACGGACAUCUUUCAAGCAAGAAAGUCCAGCAUCAGGGUGCAGCUGGUCAUGAGGAAAGAUUGACCUUGAUUGCUGUAUGUAUGAAAUAAAGAGGUUGAAAAGCAUUCCCUUGAAUCCAAGAGCUGCCGAGGUGUUUCCAUGGAGAGAACCAUUUCUCUUUGCUUUCCAGCACAGCUACAACUAACCAAAUAGCCUCUCAUGUGUAUAAAAAUGGAAUCAAAUAAAGAAGUGAUCACUA
Myxocyprinus asiaticus (Chinese sucker) is the source of this 1716-nucleotide long non-coding RNA. RefSeq lists it as uncharacterized. NCBI's taxonomy places the organism in Eukaryota, Metazoa, Chordata, Actinopteri, Cypriniformes, Catostomidae. The transcript is spliced from 6 exons. The record is from RefSeq and is a predicted model, not a curated record.